Molecule: ribosomal RNA, 492 nt
Filed under: uncultured bacterium
Lineage: Bacteria
Description: partial 16S ribosomal RNA
Rfam family: Bacterial small subunit ribosomal RNA
Source: RNAcentral
AGUGAACGCUGGCGGUAGGCCUAACACAUGCAAGUCGAACGGCAGCACAGUAAGAGCUUGCUCUUACGGGUGGCGAGUGGCGGACGGGUGAGGAAUACAUCGGAAUCUACUUUUUCGUGGGGGAUAACGUAGGGAAACUUACGCUAAUACCGCAUACGACCUACGGGUGAAAGCAGGGGAUCUUCGGACCUUGCGCGAUUGAAUGAGCCGAUGUCGGAUUAGCUAGUUGGCGGGGUAAAGGCCCACCAAGGCGACGAUCCGUAGCUGGUCUGAGAGGAUGAGAACCCACCGGGGAAGGGAGCCAGGGUCAGGACCCCGGCGGGGGGCAGCAGGGGGGAAUGUUGGAAAAGGGGCGCAAGCCUGACCCAGCCAUCCCGGGGGGGGAAAGAGGGCCUUGGGGUGGAAAAGCCUUUUUGUGGGAAAAAAAAAGCAGGAGUUUAAACCCCCGGUGUUCUGAGGGUACCAAAAAAAAAAGCACGGGCUAACUUCGGG